Non-coding RNA from Vicugna pacos (alpaca), 153 nucleotides. Lineage: Eukaryota; Metazoa; Chordata; Mammalia; Artiodactyla; Camelidae. The record is from RefSeq and is a predicted model, not a curated record.
AAGGCUGAGGCCUGGGUCACUGGGCACAUGCGUCCACCCCUCCUCAGGGACAAGGGGCAGGAGGGCGUGGCAGCGGGCCGCAGGGGCCACCAAGAUCGGUGCUGCCUCCAGCUCUGACCUGGUGCCCUACACAGAUGCCAGCAGCCCAGACAG